UAGUAACAUUUGGGGUGGCUAGGAUGGU
Molecule: non-coding RNA, 28 nt
Filed under: Mus musculus (house mouse)
Lineage: Eukaryota; Metazoa; Chordata; Mammalia; Rodentia; Muridae
Source: RNAcentral